UGCAAGUCGAACGGCAGCACAGGAGAGCUUGCUCUCUGGGUGGCGAGUGGCGGACGGGUGAGGAAUACAUCGGAAUCUACUCUGUCGUGGGGGAUAACGUAGGGAAACUUACGCUAAUACCGCAUACGACCUACGGGUGAAAGCAGGGGACCUUCGGGCCUUGCGCGAUUGAAUGAGCCGAUGUCGGAUUAGCUAGUUGGCGGGGUAAAGGCCCACCAAGGCGACGAUCCGUAGCUGGUCUGAGAGGAUGAUCAGCCACACUGGAACUGAGACACGGUCCAGACUCCUACGGGAGGCAGCAGUGGGGAAUAUUGGACAAUGGGCGCAAGCCUGAUCCAGCCAUACCGCGUGGGUGAAGAAGGCCUUCGGGUUGUAAAGCCCUUUUGUUGGGAAAGAAAUCCAGCUGGCUAAUACCCGGUUGGGAUGACGGUACCCAAAGAAUAAGCACCGGCUAACUUCGUGCCAGCAG
RNAcentral lists this ribosomal RNA (469 nucleotides) under Stenotrophomonas maltophilia. Its description in RNAcentral is "bacterial SSU rRNA". It matches the Rfam family "Bacterial small subunit ribosomal RNA", at positions 56 to 514 of the family's 1533-position model. The record is from RNAcentral. Lineage: Bacteria; Pseudomonadati; Pseudomonadota; Gammaproteobacteria; Lysobacterales; Lysobacteraceae.